Molecule: non-coding RNA, 125 nt
Organism: Triticum aestivum (bread wheat)
Lineage: Eukaryota; Viridiplantae; Streptophyta; Magnoliopsida; Poales; Poaceae
Source: Rfam
UACUUACUCCCUCUUUCCGGAAAUACUCGUCAGAGAAAUGGAUGUAUCUAGGCAUAUUUUACUUCUAGAUACAUCCAUUUUCAUCCAUUUCCCCAACAAGUAUUUCCGGAUAGACGGAAUCUUUC